CGUUCCGCACCACGACAUGCAAGUGCCGACAGGUUACAUUACUUGAAGCCUCUCAAACCACACGCACAUACAUUACCUCUCCCAUCCGCCGCUGGCGUAGCCGCCGUCGUGCGCCAGGGGCACGGCCCCCACCGCGCGGCGCUGCGGCUGCACCUGCCCCGUCUCCGCGGCGGCGGCAGCAGAGGCACAGUCAGAGGAGUCCAGCAUCAUCCUUCCCGUGACUGCCCGGAAUCCGCGCCAGCCGUGUCCGUGCCGAGGAGUCACGCGUACAUCCGCCUCGUGGCCACACAGGAUCCUGGGCCCCCGGCGCCUGCCCGCAGACGCCGCCGCACUCAGGACCAGCGCCCUCAGGAGGCUACCGAUGCAUACCAUCUCAUGGCUGCUGGCUCUACCACUCGCUUGCCCAGA
Molecule: unclassified non-coding RNA, 408 nt
Filed under: Zea mays
Lineage: Eukaryota; Viridiplantae; Streptophyta; Magnoliopsida; Poales; Poaceae
Description: misc RNA Zm00001eb204220
Source: RNAcentral